This 500-nucleotide ribosomal RNA is filed under the name uncultured bacterium. Its description in RNAcentral is "partial 16S ribosomal RNA". It matches the Rfam family "Bacterial small subunit ribosomal RNA", at positions 30 to 523 of the family's 1533-position model. The record is from RNAcentral.
AUUGAACGCUGGCGGAAUGCUUUACACAUGCAAGUCGAACGGCAGCACGGACUUCGGUCUGGUGGCGAGUGGCGAACGGGUGAGUAAUACAUCGGAACGUGCCCAGUCGUGGGGGAUAACGUAGCGAAAGCUACGCUAAUACCGCAUACGAUCUAAGGAUGAAAGCGGGGGACCGUAAGGCCUCGCGCGAUUGGAGCGGCCGGUGGCAGAUUAGGUAGUUGGUGGGGUAAAGGCUCACCAAGCCGACGAUCUGUAGCUGGUCUGAGAGGACGACCAGCCACACUGGGACUGAGACACGGCCCAGCCGCCUACGGGAGGCAGCAGUGGGGAAUUUUGGACAAUGGGCGCAAGCCUGAUCCAGCCAUUCCGCGUGCAGGAUGAAGUCCCUCGGGUUGUAAACUGCUUUUGUACGGAACGAAAAGGCUCUGGUUAAUACCUGGGGCUCAUGACGGUACCGUAAGAAUAAGCACCGGCUAACUACGUGCCAGCAGCCGCAGUAA